AGAGUUUGAUCCUGGCUCAGGAUGAACGCUGGCGGCGUGCUUAACACAUGCAAGUCGAACGGAAAGGCCAGUGCUUGCACUGGUACUCGAGUGGCGAACGGGUGAGUAACACGUGGGUGAUCUGCCCUGCACUUCGGGAUAAGCCUGGGAAACUGGGUCUAAUACCGGAUAGGACCACAUUUUGGAUGGUGUGGUGGAAAGUUUUUCGGUGUGGGAUGAGCUCGCGGCCUAUCAGCUUGUUGGUGGGGUAAUGGCCUACCAAGGCGUCGACGGGUAGCCGGCCUGAGAGGGUGUACGGCCACAUUGGGACUGAGAUACGGCCCAGACUCCUACGGGAGGCAGCAGUGGGGAAUAUUGCACAAUGGGCGCAAGCCUGAUGCAGCGACGCCGCGUGGGGGAUGACGGCCUUCGGGUUGUAAACUCCUUUCGCUAGGGACGAAGCUUGUUUGUGACGGUACCUGGAGAAGAAGCACCGGCUAACUACGUG
Molecule: ribosomal RNA, 487 nt
Filed under: uncultured Corynebacterium sp.
Lineage: Bacteria; Bacillati; Actinomycetota; Actinomycetes; Mycobacteriales; Corynebacteriaceae
Description: bacterial SSU rRNA
Rfam family: Bacterial small subunit ribosomal RNA
Source: RNAcentral